GUGAUGGCUUGGUGGUCGUAUGUAUGACGUCAUUUACUUGUACUUUUAGGAGUGACAUCUUAUGUACGGCUGCUAAACUGCCACAUG
RNAcentral lists this microRNA precursor (87 nucleotides) under Python bivittatus (Burmese python). RNAcentral describes it as "microRNA pbv-mir-489 precursor". Its record names the gene pbv-mir-489. It matches the Rfam family "mir-489 microRNA precursor family". The record is from miRBase by way of RNAcentral. Lineage: Eukaryota; Metazoa; Chordata; Lepidosauria; Squamata; Pythonidae.